AGUCGAGGGGCAGCGGGGGCGGAAGCUUGCUUUCGCCCGCCGGCGACCGGCGCACGGGUGAGUAACACGUAUGCAACCUGGCCGCCACAGGGGGAUAACCCGCGGAAACGCGGCCUAAUACCCCGUGACGCCACCGGAGGGCAUCCUCCGGUGGCCAAAGGAGCGAUCCGGUGGCGGAUGGGCAUGCGGCGCAUUAGCUAGACGGCGGGGUGACGGCCCACCGUGGCGACGAUGCGUAGGGGUUCUGAGAGGAAGGCCCCCCACACUGGGACUGAGACACGGCCCAGACUCCUACGGGAGGCAGCAGUGAGGAAUAUUGGUCAAUGGGCGGAAGCCUGAACCAGCCAAGUCGCGUGAGGGAUUAAGGCCCUGCGGGUCGUAAACCUCUUUUGCCGGGGAGCAGUGGUCCGGACGCGUCCGGGCCGGGAGAGUACCCGGAGAAAAAGCAUCGGCUAUCUCCGUGCCAGCAGCCGCGGUAAUACGGAGGAUGCGAGCGUUAUCCGGAUUUAUUGGGUUUAAAGGGUGCGUAGGCGGGCAUUUAAGCCGGCGGUCAAAUGUCGGGGCUCAACCCCGGCCUGCCGUCGGAACUGGGUGCCUUGAGUGGGCGAGAAGUAUGCGGAAUGCGUGGUGUAGCGGUGAAAUGCAUAGAUAUCACGCAGAACCCCGAUUGCGAAGGCAGCAUACCGGCGCCCUACUGACG
This 700-nucleotide ribosomal RNA is filed under the name uncultured bacterium. RNAcentral's name for it is "bacterial SSU rRNA". It matches the Rfam family "Bacterial small subunit ribosomal RNA", at positions 60 to 745 of the family's 1533-position model. The record is from RNAcentral.